AGGAGCCCUGUGCGAGAAAACCGCACGCAGGGAUCUGUGAGAGGGCGGUCGGGUAACUGGCUGGUCUAUCUUAAU
Molecule: unclassified non-coding RNA, 75 nt
Filed under: Desulforhopalus singaporensis
Lineage: Bacteria; Pseudomonadati; Thermodesulfobacteriota; Desulfobulbia; Desulfobulbales; Desulfocapsaceae
Source: RNAcentral